UGAGGAUAAAAGGCUUCGGACGUCCAAGGAAAAGCUGUAGACGCAGAGGUGGAGAGUUGCAAGUGUCCUUGAGGCCAAGAUGGCGGAAGAUGUUCUGGGAAAGACGGUUAGUCAGCUCAAGAGGGAGAGGACAACUGCGAAGAGCAGCUUCACCAGACAAGCCAACCUCCUCAGUAAAGGGGCAAACAGCAUGGUCGAAGCAGAGCUUAAGGAGGAGUUCAGUAGGCUGUCUGAGUAUUUCAAGAAAAUUCUUGAAACCAAUGAUGAUUAUAGGACCGGACUGCUGGCUGAAACAACAAAGGAAGAAGAGGAGGAAGACGCAGUGCUCCAAGAGUCGCUGGAGGUGAACAUUGAGAAGGCUGAAGAAAAAGCGGAGGCAAGAUUUAAAGAAGUGAAAAACAUUGUCCAAGUGAACCUUUGGUCAAGAUAUGGUCAAUAUGAGCUCACUACUGCCAUCCGAGAAGCCGAAAAGAAUGUCGAUGAGGCAGGUGACGUGCCUGUAGAAAGUCCCAACCUGGAGGGCUAUGAGGUGCGCUUGACUCUCCUGGAGAAAAGGACUCAGGAGGCCACCAGAGUCAUGGCAGCCUGGGAGCGAUGGAUCCCUCUGGAGGAGAGGAGGGACCUAGAUAGCAGAAUUAAAGAGCUUAAAGCAACCAGCAGCAGACUUGAGCUGAGGAAAGCUGAAUUCGCCACUGCACGGAGGAUUGCAGAGGAGGCACGGGCUGAAGAAGCUCAUGGUGGGAGGAAUAGAGCACAAUUGACACCUGCAUCACCUAUAAUACCCACAGGACCGAUAGUAAGGAUCAAGCCAACAGCUCUUCCCAUCUUCGAUGGCAACAAAAGAGAAUAUUACAGAUGGAGGAAAAACUGGGAGAGCCUACAGAAACAAGGAGAGCCAUCUGGAUCAGCUGAGGUCAAGAAGAUUCAAUUAUUGAGCAGUGUUGAUGACAGAAUAGCAAAGGAUCUCAGGCUAUCAACAUACAGCACUGCUGAAGAGAUAUUCAGAGUCAUGGAGAAUAGAUGUGGGAAUAAGUUAACCAUCACCAUAGAAAUCCUGGAAGAACUGGAAAAAAUACCUCCUGUGAAGGGAAACCAGCCAAGAAGAGUCAUCGACCUGAUACAGUCUGUGGAAAAAGCCUUAGCAGAUCUCACAGAGCUGGGAAACUCUGGU
RNAcentral lists this long non-coding RNA (1171 nucleotides) under Cottoperca gobio. Its description in RNAcentral is "lncRNA (ENSCGOG00000008479.1)". Lineage: Eukaryota; Metazoa; Chordata; Actinopteri; Perciformes; Bovichtidae. The record is from RNAcentral.